RNAcentral lists this ribosomal RNA (489 nucleotides) under uncultured bacterium. Its description in RNAcentral is "partial 16S ribosomal RNA". It matches the Rfam family "Bacterial small subunit ribosomal RNA", at positions 28 to 523 of the family's 1533-position model. The record is from RNAcentral.
GAUGAACGCUGGCGGCGUGCUUAACACAUGCAAGUCGAACGGAGUUUCUGGAAAUAUUUCGGUAUUGAAGGGGACUUAGUGGCAAACGGGUGAGUAACACGUAGACAACCAACCUCGAGGAGGGGGAUAGCACGACGAAAGUUGGAUUAAUACCGCAUACAGCUAUUUAAUCGCAUGAAUAGAUAGUGAAAGAUUUAUUGAUAUAGGAGGAGUCUGCGGCACAUUAGCUAGUAGGUGAGGUAAGAGCUCACCUAGGCGACGAUGUGUAGCCGGUCUGAGAGGAUGAACGGCCACAAUGGAACUGAGACACGGUCCAUACUCCUACGGGAGGCAGCAGUGGGGAAUAUUGCACAAUGGGGGAAACCCUGAUGCAGCAACGCCGCGUGAGUGAAGAAGGUUUUCGGAUUGUAAAGCUCUGUUAGCAGGGAAGAGGAAGGACGGUACCUGCAGAGGAAGCCACGGCUAACUACGUGCCAGCCGCCGCAGUAA